AAGUCGUAACAAGGCUUCCGUAGGUGAACCUGCGGAAGGAUCAUUCAUAAUUGAGUGUUUUAUGGCACUCUUUAAAAAAAUCCAUAUCCACCUUGUGUGCAACGUUUUUGAACUCUCUGGCAUUAAAAAGCCAAGAGGGUUUGAUUAACUUAACACCUUUAAAGCAGUUUGUCUGAAUAUCUAUUUCUGAAUAAACAUAAUUCAAAAAUACAACUUUCAACAACGGAUCUCUUGGCUCUC
RNAcentral lists this unclassified non-coding RNA (240 nucleotides) under Mortierella sp. RNAcentral's name for it is "partial internal transcribed spacer region". The stretch from base 1 to 46 matches the Rfam family "Eukaryotic small subunit ribosomal RNA", at positions 1786 to 1831 of the family's 1831-position model. The record is from RNAcentral. Lineage: Eukaryota; Fungi; Mortierellomycota; Mortierellomycetes; Mortierellales; Mortierellaceae.